This 292-nucleotide signal recognition particle RNA is filed under the name Castor canadensis (American beaver). RNAcentral's name for it is "Metazoan signal recognition particle RNA (ENSCCNG00000002876.1)". It matches the Rfam family "Metazoan signal recognition particle RNA". From Rfam's summary of the family: The signal recognition particle (SRP) is a universally conserved ribonucleoprotein. It is involved in the co-translational targeting of proteins to membranes. The record is from RNAcentral. Lineage: Eukaryota; Metazoa; Chordata; Mammalia; Rodentia; Castoridae.
GCCGGGCGCGGUGGCGCGCGCCUGUAGUCCUAGCUACUCGGGAGGCUGAGGCAGGAGGAUCGCUUGAGUCUAGGAGUUCUGGGCUGCAGUGCGCUAUGCCGAUCGGGUGUCCGCACUAAGUUCGGCAUCAAUAUGGUGACCUCCCGGGAGCGGGGGACCACCAGGUUGCCUAAGGAGGGGUGAACCGGCCCAGGUCGGAAAACCAGUAACAACAGCAACAAAAAGGUCAUGACCAGUGCAGUGGGACCACAACGGAUGAGUCCCACCCCUAAUACUGUCACACUCUUCAUCC